Molecule: non-coding RNA, 111 nt
Organism: Acanthosepion pharaonis
Lineage: Eukaryota; Metazoa; Mollusca; Cephalopoda; Sepiida; Sepiidae
Source: the annotation of a GenBank genome assembly
UACAGCCAUAUCACACUGAAACACCAGUUCUCAUUUGACCACCAAAUCUAAGCAACAUUGUCCAUAGUCAGUACUUAAGUGGGUGACCACUUGGGAAUACUAGAUGCUGUA